Molecule: microRNA, 18 nt
Filed under: Rattus norvegicus (Norway rat)
Lineage: Eukaryota; Metazoa; Chordata; Mammalia; Rodentia; Muridae
Description: rno-miR-3575
Source: miRBase by way of RNAcentral
ACUGCUGGGUAAGACGAG